Molecule: long non-coding RNA, 3909 nt
Organism: Chelonia mydas (Green sea turtle)
Lineage: Eukaryota; Metazoa; Chordata; Testudines; Cheloniidae
Exons: 2
Source: RefSeq, a predicted model, not a curated record
ACGUGCGCAGGCGCACUGCCUUCCUCCCUGCCCCCGCUAACCGCCGGGGCCCCACGCGCCCCUUGCAGCGCAGCCCCAGUGCGGGAGGAGGGUCCCACGCUCUGCUAGGAACCCUGCGGGCCUGGCUGCCUGACAGAGCUUGCGGCUUGGCUGGCACUGAACAUACGCAGUAACGUCCGCUGAGACCGCUAGCCUCGAAUGUUUCUGCCCUAAUAUCCUGGCAUGGCGGAUGAGACCAUAAUGGGUAACGUGACAGAAAACGUGCAGCUGGUAGUUUAAAAAGGUCAUUGUGCAGCAGCAAGCUUGAGUCGGUCUGUACUUUCUCCAGUAACCUGCCAAUGUCAACCUCUCGUCUGAUAUGAGGAGCAAUAUUGCUCAGAACUGGAAGCCAUCGGAUUGGAGUCAGACGCAGGGUGCCAGAGGUGGUACGCAUGAUGGCAUGUAACUGCAUAUCCACCAGUUUGGUGUGUGACGAUCAAUUCCAGUACUCCGCCGCUGAAUACGAGGUGGCCAGAGCUGAUGUCCGCAAAAUUGGAGCACGAGCGCUCCAUGACGAACCUGCCAGUUUGUUAAGAAGAUUGUUGCGCAUCUUAAUUUUAGCUGCUGUCUUCUUCAGGUGGGUAUGAUAACUCAGUGUGCGGUCUAAGGUCACACCUAGAUAGACCAGUUCUACUUCAUGCUUCACCUUCUGACCAUUCAGAUAAACAUUCAAUUCUUGGGUUGCGCUGGCGUGAUGAAGAUGGAACAAACUGGAGACUGUUUUUAUAACACUUGGCUGGAGGCCAAGUCUUACAGUAGUCAGCUAACUUUAUCAUGUCCCGGUUCAAGGUGGCACCAAGCUCGUGAAACGUCUGGGCCUGGGUACCACAACAUAUGUCGUCUGCGUAAAUGAACUUGCAUGAUUCUGUUGUUGGCAGGUCACUGAUGUAAAGGCUGGAGAAAGCACAGAGCCCUGGCGUAACCCAUUGCUCUGCCUUCUCCAAGCAUGCGUCUUCUCUGCCAUAUGGAUGGGAGGAGACAACCAAGAGGAUGGGCUUUACCCGCUCCAGCCGCAAGUGUUGGAGUCUGCUCUGACGCCUUGGAGCAGCGCAGCAGUCACCUGCAGGCUGCCAAGCCUCAGUGACACCCAACCAAGUAGCCGGACACCUACUUAAAGUGGCCAGAGCACCUUUGGAGAAACAGGUGCGAAGACAAAUGAGGAACGAAUGGCAUGUGUUUAAACGUCUACACCAGAUCAGAAGCUGCCCAGAACCAUUCACUGUAACGGAGCUGGAACAGACACUGGGUAGCAUCAAGUGUGGAACAGCUACGGGCUAUGACAACAUAUCUCCAGAAUUCCAGAAAAACCUUGGCCCCCAUGCUUGGUUUUGGCUUGUGAAAUUCUUCACCAGGGUCAUCAGUGAAGAUAGGCUACCAAAGAUAUGGUGCACUGCAAAAGUCAUUGGCCUCCUAAAGCCUGGAAAGAACCCAAAUCAAGCAUCAAGCUAUCGUCCCAUAUCAUUAUUGUCGAUGUGCUUCAAGACACUGGAGCACUUGGUCCUACAGCACAUAUUACCCGAUGUGGAGAGAAUUUUGAGCCCUGACCAAGCCGGUUUUCGCUAAGGCCAUAGCACAUGCGAACAAGUACUCGUGCUGACCACAUUUGUUGAAAAUGGCUUCCAGAUAAACUUCAAAACAGGCACUGUUUUCAUCAAUCUAACAGCAGCGUACAAUAUGGUAUGGCACACUGGCCUGCUUGUGAAGGUAUCACGGGUCCUGCUAUCUUGGCUCAUAGGCAUCCACAAUAAGCUCCCUCUGGUGCCAGGGGCUAAAGGGGCAAGCAGGGGGGAUGGGCACAGUCUGUGCAGGGGGAAAUGACAGACAGAUGUAGGCAGGGGCAGGAGAGGGACUGAGGGGUAAAAUCAGGGAGGGAGGGAGGGUAGGAGCCAGGUUUGAGGCACUGUCUGAGGGGGCAGAGGGGAAACCCCGCAUGGGGAGGGGCAGAGGGGGUAACAGUUUCCCCCAGGGCAGCGAGCCACCUGCAGUGUUUGCAAAACAGGCGGGUUGUAGCCCCUGUCACAGGGCUGUCCCGCUCAGCAUCUUUCUCCCAGGGCUGGAGUUUGUGCAACCCAGUGCCUACACGAGGCAGUCUACCCUAGCUGGUGUGAUGUAUGGAGCUGCUAAAGGAGCCUUGAGUCAGUGAAACAUUUUACACACAUCCCCAAAAAACUAUCUGCAUAUCCCACCAUUAAACAUCAUCACAGUUUCCUGUCAAUGGCCUGGACUUCCAAUUGAAAUAAAAAAAAAUCAGCAAACCAAAGUUCUCAUGUGCACAGACACAGCGUGAAGUGAUAGCUGCAAAUGUUUUUGCUCCAUGGGCAAAUGAUUAAUUAAUGAACUAUCUGAAAGAUGUUGAAUAUUUGUCACUGUGUGUUGAUGCAUCAAAUCACAGACCUGUGAAAUUGGUUCCUGGCUUGGUUUGCUAUUUCAAGGCUUAUGAAGGCAGUGUGUGUGGGCACACUAAAUUUGUGGAUUUUGUCAAACUUAAAAGGCGAGACCUCAGAACUCAUUGCAGCUGAAAUAAUAAGGUUGUGCCAUUCUCAGUAGAUAAUACAAACACGAACUUCAGCAGCCUCUACAGACAUGGAAGAGAACAUUUUCAUGCCAAAGUAAGAUGAGCAUAGGCCUUGGAUGCCCUGCUCAUGUCAUGCACAACUGUGCCUGAACUGCAAGGGAUAGAAUGCUCUCAACAUCUACUGCACUUAGUUGUAAUUAAGAUUUUUGGAUAUUUUCAUAUAUUUGCUGUUCACAUAGAAAGACAGAAAAGUUUUUGCGAAUACAUGGGACAAGUAUAUCAGAAUAUAGUGGGAGGCAGUAGUGUCAAAUGGCUGUUGAUGUUACCUGCUUUAGAGAGGAUCCUUCAACUUUGAGUCAUUAAAAAGUGCCCAGUAGUUCCUCACAAAAUAUUUGAACACCCAUGUACCAAACUCUGGCUUGCUUUUAUCUGUUGUGACAAAGUUCCUCCUCUGCCUUGGUGGGUCCUGCGCUUAUUGGCGGAUUCGCUUGCCUCAGAGAUUCACGGCAGCCCUCAGUUUGGCCACUUUUGCUAGUGGCUCAAACCUGCCGUUCACUCAGCUAACCUCAUCACUGGCCAGCAUGGGAAAAAGGAAGAAGAACAAUCCCCGCAGUCUCUGCUGAUCCACCAUGUGAGUUGGGGAACAGCCCAGAGACCUUCCCCUCUGGUGGAACCCACAGUGCAGGUCAACUCCUCCUGUGUCUGAUCAGAAGUUGGGAGGUUUGGGGGGAACCCAGGCCUGCCUUGUACUCCAGGUUCCAGCCCAGGGCCCUGUGGACUGCAGCUGUCUAGAGUGCCUCCUGGAACAGCUGCACAACAGCUACAACUCCCUGAGCUACUUCCCCAUGGCCUCCUCCCAACACCUUCUUUAUCCUCUCCACAGGAUCUUCCUCCUGGUGUCUGAUAAUCCUUGUAACUCCUCAGUCCUCCAGCAGCACAUCCUCUCACUCCCAGCUCCUUAUGCACACACACCACAAACUGAAGGGAGGUCCUUUUUAAACUCAGGUGCCCUGAUUAGCCAGCCUGUCCUAAUUAAUUCUAGCAACUUCUUAAUUGGCUUCAGGUGUCCUAAUUAGCCUGCCUGCCUGAAUUUCCUCCAGCAAGUUCCUUCUUGUUCUGGAAGUGCCUCUGUUACCUUACCCAGGAAAAAUGGACCUGCUUUUAAUCUGGGACUAAUAUAUCUGCCUUCUAAAUCAGUCGCCUGCGCCGAGAGUGCCCCUCUGAGGAAUGCGGGGCUGGAGUCUUCAUGGCCAGUCACUUUGACAGACAUUACUGUGGCAAGUGCUGCCUGACAUACUGCUUCAACAAACCAGAAGACAAGUAAAUGUAUCUGUGUUAAUAAAAAAACCCUCAGA